GGCUGUGUAUAGAUGGUGACAAGAACUCGAAACUCCAAAGGACUAGACACUAAGACCAACAACUCGACACAAACCGAAGCAACGCAAAUUGAACAAGCCCUAACUAAAACGGUACUAGCCAAGGCACAAAGGUUUAAUAGGAUUAUGGAAAAACUAAUCUACUAUAUUUUUUUUGGCUUUUCUGGACUAUAGGAAAUUAAUUAAAAACAGCAAAGGAUUAGAAGUCUCUCACCGAAGAACCUUGCUCUGAUUACCAACUGAUGCGAACCCGCUAGGGUUUUUGGCCUGAUCUUUCGAUGAGAGGCGCUGGAUAACUCGAUUAGUGGAUGGAGAUGACGUUCACGGCCCGACUACAGCCCUCAAGACCGCGCCUUAGCAACCGAUACACCACGUCCAACAGCCGUCACGAUCUUGUGGAGCGCGACAACCAGCCCCUAGGGCUCCCGUCCUGCAAGCAAUCGAAGAACUAGCAAGAACGAGGAAACAAGCACUGAAUUUGCAAGAUGAAUUGAAGGUUUCAAACUGAAUCUGAAUCAACAAUGGGGUUCCGAAGACAAGG
Molecule: long non-coding RNA, 559 nt
Filed under: Sorghum bicolor (sorghum)
Lineage: Eukaryota; Viridiplantae; Streptophyta; Magnoliopsida; Poales; Poaceae
Description: long non-coding RNA (SBIC_LNC018655)
Source: RNAcentral